UUGGCAGAAGAGCGGGCUGGGUUACGCAGCUCUCAGGUGCCGGUUUUUGUGGGUCGCUUUUCGAGGAUUAGGCAGCUUUCCAGGGCUCUGACAAGACCGAGUUCCAGAGAAUGCGUUCUGGGCCACAAGCUUAGGGAUAGAGUCCCUUCCCAGGAACUGUUCCCCAGUUCAGAAUUCCUCCCACCUGCCCGAGAUCGGCGAUGAGUACCAGCUGGAGGAUCCUUUCGUCCUCGUCAUCCCAGAAACAGACCCGCGUAACGCUGGAUCACCCACACUGCACCACGAACAGGCACUCUCACACAACGAUACCCAUGCCCGAACUUCCACCGACACUCGCUGACACACCUGUGACACUCCUCGUGACAUAGUGACACAGAGAUAUGGGAAAACACACGGUGAUUCCCC
This is a long non-coding RNA of Bubalus bubalis (water buffalo), 405 nucleotides long. RefSeq lists it as uncharacterized. NCBI's taxonomy places the organism in Eukaryota, Metazoa, Chordata, Mammalia, Artiodactyla, Bovidae. The record is from RefSeq and is a predicted model, not a curated record. The transcript has 3 exons.